UUAAUUCGAAGCAACGCGCAGAACCUUACCAGCGUUUGACAUCCUUGUCGCGGAUUUCAGAGAUGAUUUCCUUCAGUUCGGCUGGACAAGUGACAGGUGCUGCAUGGCUGUCGUCAGCUCGUGUCGUGAGAUGUUGGGUUAAGUCCCGCAACGAGCGCAACCCUCAUCUUUAGUUGCCAUCAUUCAGUUGGGCACUCUAAAGAAACUGCCGGUGAUAAGCCGGAGGAAGGUGGGGAUGACGUCAAGUCCUCAUGGCCCUUACACGCUGGGCUACACACGUGCUACAAUGGCGGUGACAGUGGGCAGCAACCGGGCGACCGGUAGCUAAUCUCCAAAAGCCGUCUCAGUUCGGAUUGUUCUCUGCAACUCGAGAGCAUGAAGGCGGAAUCGCUAGUAAUCGCGGAUCAGCAUGCCGCGGUGAAUACGUUCCCAGGCCUUGUACACACCGCCCGUCACACCAUGGGAUUUGGAUUCACCCGAAGGCGUUGCGCUAACCUAGCAAUAGGAGGCAGGCGACCACGGUGGGUUUAGAGACUGGGGUGAAGUCGUAACAAGGUA
RNAcentral lists this ribosomal RNA (558 nucleotides) under uncultured bacterium. Its description in RNAcentral is "bacterial SSU rRNA". It matches the Rfam family "Bacterial small subunit ribosomal RNA", at positions 946 to 1498 of the family's 1533-position model. The record is from RNAcentral.